This 348-nucleotide ribosomal RNA is filed under the name Triticum aestivum (bread wheat). RNAcentral describes it as "partial small subunit ribosomal RNA". Lineage: Eukaryota; Viridiplantae; Streptophyta; Magnoliopsida; Poales; Poaceae. The record is from RNAcentral.
AUGUUCUAUUUCUUCUUACUGGUUAAGGGCAUAGAAGUAAUCUCAUUUUUUUUUCAUGUUGAUACAUCAUAUGUAUUAGUGAUGUCAUGCGAAGCCACAUCAAUUUGGAAAAUAUAUACUAAAUUAGAAGCCAUAAGCAUUUUGCUAUCUUGGUUUUGGCAACUAGAUUAUAUCCAAAAUGCAAAUAAUCUGAGAGCAGAAAUUGCAAAUCAUUGGAAAGUAUGCAAUGUAAAAAUGCUAAGAAGGCCAAAGAGCAGCGCAGGAGCUUUUAUUAUACUUUGUUUAAUCCUGGAGAUCAUACUGGAAGCUGAUGCUGUAGCAUUGCAGUUGCAUUAUUUUGCAUACUAG